UAGCUCUGGACCUAAGCUCCACACCUGUGUCAUCAGAUUUCGGGACGUCCUACACCAAGCUCACCCUCCAGCCUGGUGUCACCACCGUCAUCGACAAUUUCUACAUCUGCCCGACCAACAAGAGGAAGGUCAUCCUUGUCAGCUCCUCACUCAGUGACCGGGACCAGAGCCUAUUCCUCAGCGCAGACGAAGGCGCCACCUUUCAGAAGC
RNAcentral lists this long non-coding RNA (210 nucleotides) under Pan troglodytes (chimpanzee). RNAcentral describes it as "long non-coding RNA NONPTRT012394". The record is from RNAcentral. Lineage: Eukaryota; Metazoa; Chordata; Mammalia; Primates; Hominidae.